RNAcentral lists this ribosomal RNA (119 nucleotides) under Lepisosteus oculatus (spotted gar). Lineage: Eukaryota; Metazoa; Chordata; Actinopteri; Semionotiformes; Lepisosteidae. The record is from RNAcentral.
GCCAGCAGCCAUGUCACUCUGCAACUUACGGUUGGCAGCCCACUGAAGCUUAGCAGGUGUGAGCCUGGUCAGUACCUGGAUGGGAAACCUCCUGGGAAAAACUAAAGUUGCUGCUGGAA